GCCCUCGUCGUUCAACGGACAGGACGGAAGCUUGCGGAGCUUCAGAUAGGGGUUCGAUUCCUCUCGAGGGCACCA
Molecule: transfer RNA, 75 nt
Filed under: Candidatus Wildermuthbacteria bacterium RIFCSPLOWO2_02_FULL_47_9c
Lineage: Bacteria; Candidatus Wildermuthiibacteriota
Also listed under: 2 other names
Description: tRNA-Arg
Rfam family: tRNA
About the family: Transfer RNA (tRNA) molecules are approximately 80 nucleotides in length.
Source: RNAcentral